UGUUAUAUAUGCACCUUAUCAAGUAAUUUGUUUGUUUUUACACCUUAUACAUACAAAUAUAUAUCUGAGGGUUACCUUGCAUUGCAUACAAAUAUAUACAAUUUCUACAUGUUUUCCUUCUGCUUGCUUAAAGCCUUAAAGCACCCAAGAAGUCAAUAUAAUUGGAAAAAUAUUUCCAUAUAUAAUGGUAAAUUUCUCUUCUCUCUUACAACUUCAGGCACCCAUUUUCCUUAACUUCAGGACCAGAAGAUGACUUCCAAAGAGUGCACAUAAGAAUUCUUGGAGAGUGGAGCUAUGAAAUAUAUAGUCUUUGCCAAGAGGUAAAAACUGGGAGAAACUGGAUGCAGACUACCAAACCUUAAAUUUAGCUGGAAAACUAUCAAAUCCCUCCGAAAAUUUCAUAUCUUCUCAAGUUUUGCAGGCGGCGUCAUAUGGGGUAAAGGAGCAUCCUAAAAUAUGCAUAGAUGGACCUUAUGGAGCUGCCUCCCAAGACCAUAUCAAGUAUGAUAUAGUUCUUCUAAUUGGCCUGGGAAUAGAAGCUACACCUUUCAUUAGCAUCCUCAAAGACAUUGUUAAUUUUAUCCAAAAUGCUUGCUGCAAUAAUGUAAGAUCCUUGUCUUUACAAUCCUUCCUCUAUGUCUGAAGUUUGGAAUCCAGUAAAAUGAGAAAGGAAAAAACAAACCGAGAUCCUGACAUUUUUAACCAUGCUACAAUAAAGUUUUUCCUUUUUAUUAUUUGAUUCUCUUCAACAAGACAAUGAAAAUUGCUGUCUUGGUAAUUUUCUGUUGUCCGAACCCAACCUUCAUGUCCUUUCUGGGAUUGAAGUUGUUUUUCUGAUGAACUUACUAAUACUUGCAGUUGCUUUUCUAAUAUUCUUUUUCAACAUCAACACUUACUUUAGUGUACUAAAAAAAACAGAGUAGUUGCAGAGAUUGCAGCAUUUGAAAAUGUCCAUUAAAAGCUUACCUUUACUGGGUUACAAGGGAACAAAACUCCUUUGAUUUGAUUGGUUUAGAGAUGAAAUGAAGGGAAUAUCAAACUCAGACCAAAAAGAGGUAUUAAACAGAAGACAACAAUAUUUAACCUUAUGUUCAUGAUUUUGCAAUCUAUAAAUCCUCCAAACAUUCCAACUAGUGUCUCUGGCAAUUUUUGCAGUCUGCUAUAGAGGUUCAGAGGAGACGCACGAUCGGCUUUGAUCAGCGCUAUUCAAGCCUUGUAUCAUGCCAAACAUAGCAUUGAUAUCGUCUCUUGCACACCUGUACGCACACAUUUUGCCAGACCAAAUUGGUUCAGCAUCUUCUCAAAAUUGGCUUGUAGACAUAGAGGAACAAAAACUGGGGUAUUCUACUGUGGCCCACCAGCAUUAGCAAAACAGUUUGAGAGAUUUUGUAUCAAAUUCUCUACCAAAACCUCUACUAGAUUUGAAUUUCACAAGGAAUAUUACUAGAUUUUUCUCCAGGUGUUUAUGUUGUUACCAGUUCCAUAACUGGUUUUUGAAGGUGCCUAACAGUCACAGAGGUUUAAAUUAAUUGUAUAUAAACAAUAUAAUAAGGUUUAGCGCUAUUCCAUGCUUUGGAAGUAAGUUUUAAUAUUCUAACCUACUCAACAAGAACACUUUAAUAUUCUAACCUAACAAUAAUAUAAAAGUGCUUUUGACCAAAACUAACCACAAUUUCGUGCCUUGGCAUGUAAAGUUUCAACUUAUUACAGUUAAAUUGCUACUAUACAUAUGAAAAUGGCUGGAAGAUAGAUUAUCAUUUGAGUCAUAACCGAGAACUCAACCGUGCCGAAAACUCCCCUUGUAAUAAAAGAUGGAAGGACAAUAACGCCCACAUUUUUUUCCUACAGCAUUGAAACUGGGUACAUUUGUAUCCGUUCUUGGCUAAAGUUGGGACUGGAGAAUCAAACCAGGGAUUAUUAUAUGUAGCUUAGCCACUGUUGCGUUCAUGUAAAAGAUCUGCUGUGCUUUCUUUGCUCAAUUACUAAGACAGAACACAGUUGCACUUCUCUUUUCACGAAGACAAAAUAUGGUUUGACCUCUUCAUUUAGGGCACCUUAAUUGAAGUAUCAAAUCUAAGUUCAGUACAAUUUCGCCCUCCAACAACAUUCUUUCCUUCCCCACCCGUAACACAAAUUUGUCCUGGUGAUGAAAACAGAUACAUGCACCAUCCCUAUAUCCCUAUGGACACUCCUUUUCAGCUACUAGUGAUUCCAUAAUUUUAAAACGUGCUCAAAAAAGAGAUUAUUGACAUUCGAUUGAUCUUAAGUCUUUUAAUUCCGAAGAAAAUAAGCCAUCUUACCAAAUUAUACAAAAGCCUCGAGAUGUUUGAGAUGAAUUUUAUAUGCAGAAAUACGAAGAAAAAGAAUCCCAAAAUCAAUUGAAACCAUGUUCACAAUAUUUUUUAUCCCAGAAACUAAGUUCAGUUCUGGCACAAUUAUUAGAGAUAAACCCCCUCGAAAGGUAGCACCAUAAACACAAAUAAAGCCUCUGCUAUAACCUUAUUUCAUCACCGUCAGAUGAAAGACCUGUGGAUCUCAUGUUCAACCC
This is a long non-coding RNA of Ziziphus jujuba (common jujube), 2548 nucleotides long. RefSeq lists it as uncharacterized. The record is from RefSeq and is a predicted model, not a curated record. The transcript has 3 exons. Lineage: Eukaryota; Viridiplantae; Streptophyta; Magnoliopsida; Rosales; Rhamnaceae.